GGCCAGACUCCUACGGGAGGCAGCAGUGGGGGAUAUUGCACAAUGGGGGGAACCCUGAUGCAGCGACGCCGCGUGGGUGAAGAAGCGCCUCGGCGCGUAAAGCCCUGUCAGCAGGGAAGAAAAUGACGGUACCUGAAGAAGAAGCCCCGGCUAACUACGUGCCAGCAGCCGCGGUAAUACGUAGGGGGCAAGCGUUAUCCGGAUUUACUGGGUGUAAAGGGAGCGUAGACGGCAGUGCAAGUCUGGAGUGAAAGGCGGGGGCUCAACCCCCGGACUGCUCUGGAAACUGUACGGCUGGAGUGCAGGAGAGGUAAGUGGAAUUCCUAGUGUAGCGGUGAAAUGCGUAGAUAUUAGGAGGAACACCGGUGGCGAAGGCGGCCUGCUGGACUGUAACUGACGUUGAGGCUCGAAAGCGUGGGGAGCAAACAGGAUUAGAUCCCCGUGUA
This 446-nucleotide ribosomal RNA is filed under the name uncultured bacterium. RNAcentral's name for it is "partial 16S ribosomal RNA". It matches the Rfam family "Bacterial small subunit ribosomal RNA", at positions 329 to 792 of the family's 1533-position model. The record is from RNAcentral.